AACGAACGCUGGCGGCAGGCCUAACACAUGCAAGUCGAGCGAGGACUUCGGUUCUAGCGGCGGACGGGUGAGUAACGCGUGGGAAUGUGCCCUUCUCUACGGAAUAGCCCUGGGAAACUGGGAGUAAUACCGUAUACGCCCUAUUGGGGAAAGAUUUAUCGGAGAAGGAUCAGCCCGCGUUGGAUUAGGUAGUUGGUGGGGUAAUGGCCUACCAAGCCGACGAUCCAUAGCUGGUUUGAGAGGAUGAUCAGCCACACUGGGACUGAGACACGGCCCAGACUCCUACGGGAGGCAGCAGUGGGGAAUCUUAGACAAUGGGGGCAACCCUGAUCCAGCCAUGCCGCGUGAGUGAUGAAGGCCUUAGGGUUGUAAAGCUCUUUCAGCUGGGAAGAUAAUGACGGUACCAGCAGAAGAAGCCCCGGCUAACUCCGUG
RNAcentral lists this ribosomal RNA (433 nucleotides) under uncultured bacterium. RNAcentral describes it as "partial 16S ribosomal RNA". It matches the Rfam family "Bacterial small subunit ribosomal RNA", at positions 29 to 507 of the family's 1533-position model. The record is from RNAcentral.